AUCAACGACUCUCGGCAACGGAUAUCUCGGCUCUCGCAUCGAUGAAGAACGUAGCGAAAUGCGAUACUUGGUGUGAAUUGCAGAAUCACGUGAACCAUCGAGUCUUUGAACGCAAGUUGCGCCCGAAGCCAACAGGUUGAGGGCACGUC
Molecule: ribosomal RNA, 149 nt
Filed under: Cyrtandra sp. Wiriadinata 12709
Lineage: Eukaryota; Viridiplantae; Streptophyta; Magnoliopsida; Lamiales; Gesneriaceae
Description: 5.8S ribosomal RNA
Rfam family: 5.8S ribosomal RNA
About the family: 5.8S ribosomal RNA (5.8S rRNA) is a component of the large subunit of the eukaryotic ribosome. It is transcribed by RNA polymerase I as part of the 45S precursor that also contains 18S and 28S rRNA.
Source: RNAcentral